AGUUAAUUCAACGGCCGCGUUAUCCUAACCGUGCCAAGUGACCAUCUUCUUUUGUCUUUUAAUUGUGGACCUGAUUUCAAAGGCACUUUAGAGCCUAACUGUCUCUUAUUACAUAUCGAUUAAACUGAUCUUCUUUCACCAAAGCGACAAUUCGACCCUAAGACCAGAACACCCUGUUAAGCUUUUAUUAUUCUAUUAAACCCCAAAAUAGCCUUUUCCGGCUGGGCCACCUUGGAACGUAUGUUUACUACCAAACAUUGCUUCUCAUUCGCACCCCAGGCUAACAAGCCACUAUAGACCCGGUACGUCUGAUAAAUGAACCAUAGUUACUCCAGGGAUCACUGCGCUAUCUUCUUCAAGAGCCCGUAUCAUAGAGAAGGUUUACGACCUCGAUGUUGGAUCAGGACAUCCUAGUCAUGAUCAGUAUCUGAGGGUUCGUUUGUUCAACGAUUAACAGUCCUACGUGAUCUGAUUCAGAAC
This 480-nucleotide ribosomal RNA is filed under the name Echis carinatus (saw-scaled viper). Its description in RNAcentral is "partial 16S ribosomal RNA". It matches the Rfam family "Bacterial large subunit ribosomal RNA", at positions 1911 to 2617 of the family's 2925-position model. Lineage: Eukaryota; Metazoa; Chordata; Lepidosauria; Squamata; Viperidae. The record is from RNAcentral.